Molecule: ribosomal RNA, 386 nt
Filed under: uncultured bacterium
Lineage: Bacteria
Description: bacterial SSU rRNA
Rfam family: Bacterial small subunit ribosomal RNA
Source: RNAcentral
AUUGAACGCUGGCGGCAUGCCUUACACAUGCAAGUCGAACGGCAGCACGGGAGCAAUCCUGGUGGCGAGUGGCGAACGGGUGAGUAAUAUAUCGGAACGUGCCCGGUCGUGGGGGAUAACGUAGCGAAAGCUACGCUAAUACCGCAUACGAUCUACGGAUGAAAGCGGGGGGAUCGCAAGACCUCGCGCGAUUGGAGCGGCCGAUAUCAGAUUAGGUAGUUGGUGAGGUAAAGGCUCACCAAGCCGACGAUCUGUAGCUGGUCUGAGAGGACGACCAGCCACACUGGGACUGAGACACGGCCCAGACUCCUACGGGAGCAGCAGUGGGGAAUUUUGGACAAUGGGCGCAAGCCUGAUCCAGCAAUGCCGCGUGCAGGAUGAAGGCC